RNAcentral lists this ribosomal RNA (295 nucleotides) under uncultured bacterium. RNAcentral describes it as "partial 16S ribosomal RNA". It matches the Rfam family "Bacterial small subunit ribosomal RNA", at positions 333 to 645 of the family's 1533-position model. The record is from RNAcentral.
UUUUACCUACGGGGCGCAGCAGUGGGGGAUAUUGCACAAUGGGGGGAACCCUGAUGCAGCGACGCCGCGUGAAGGAAGAAGUAUCUCGGUAUGUAAACUUCUAUCAGCAGGGAAGAAAAUGACGGUACCUGACUAAGAAGCCCCAGCUAACUACGUGCCAGCAGCCGCGGUAAUACGUAGGGGGCAAGCGUUAUCCGGAUUUACUGGGUGUAAAGGGAGCGUAGGCGGCAGUUCAAGUCAGGAGUGAAAGGCCGGGGCUCAACUCCGGGACUGCUUUUGAAACUGUACAGCUUGA